GGGACACGUGGUAUCCUGUCUGAAUAUGGGGGGACCAUCCUCCAAGGCUAAAUACUCCUGACUGACCGAUAGUGAACCAGUACCGUGAGGGAAAGGCGAAAAGAACCCCGGCGAGGGGAGUGAAAAAGAACCUGAAACCGUGUACGUACAAGCAGUGGGAGCACGCUUAGGCGUGUGACUGCGUACCUUUUGUAUAAUGGGUCAGCGACUUAUAUUCUGUAGCAAGGUUAACCGAAUAGGGGAGCCGAAGGGAAACCGAGUCUUAACUGGGCGUUAAGUUGCAGGGUAUAGACCCGAAACCCGGUGAUCUAGCCAUGGGCAGGUUGAAGGUUGGGUAACACUAACUGGAGGACCGAACCGACUAAUGUUGAAAAAUUAGCGGAUGACUUGUGGCUGGGGGUGAAAGGCCAAUCAAACCGGGAGAUAGCUGGUUCUCCCCGAAAGCUAUUUAGGUAGCGCCUCGUGAAUUCAUCUCCGGGGGUAGAGCACUGUUUCGGCAAGGGGGUCAUCCCGACUUACCAACCCGAUGCAAACUGCGAAUACCGGAGAAUGUUAUCACGGGAGACACACGGCGGGUGCUAACGUCCGUCGUGAAGAGGGAAACAACCCAGACCGCCAGCUAAGGUCCCAAAGUCAUGGUUAAGUGGGAAACGAUGUGGGAAGGCCCAGACAGCCAGGAUGUUGGCUUAGAAGCAGCCAUCAUUUAAAGAAAGCGUAAUAGCUCACUGGUCGAGUCGGCCUGCGCGGAAGAUGUAACGGGGCUAAACCAUGCACCGAAGCUGCGGCAGCGACGCUUAUGCGUUGUUGGGUAGGGGAGCGUUCUGUAAGCCUGUGAAGGUGUGCUGUGAGGCAUGCUGGAGGUAUCAGAAGUGCGAAUGCUGACAUAAGUAACGAUAAAGCGGGUGAAAAGCCCGCUCGCCGGAAGACCAAGGGUUCCUGUCCAACGUUAAUCGGGGCAGGGUGAGUCGACCCCUAAGGCGAGGCCGAAAGGCGUAGUCGAUGGGAAACAGGUUAAUAUUCCUGUACUUGGUGUUACUGCGAAGGGGGGACGGAGAAGGCUAUGUUGGCCGGGCGACGGUUGUCCCGGUUUAAGCGUGUAGGCUGGUUUUCCAGGCAAAUCCGGAAAAUCAAGGCUGAGGCGUGAUGACGAGGCACUACGGUGCUGAAGCAACAAAUGCCCUGCUUCCAGGAAAAGCCUCUAAGCAUCAGGUAACAUCAAAUCGUACCCCAAACCGACACAGGUGGUCAGGUAGAGAAUACCAAGGCGCUUGAGAGAACUCGGGUGAAGGAACUAGGCAAAAUGGUGCCGUAACUUCGGGAGAAGGCACGCUGAUAUGUAGGUGAAGUCCCUCGCGGAUGGAGCUGAAAUCAGUCGAAGAUACCAGCUGGCUGCAACUGUUUAUUAAAAACACAGCACUGUGCAAACACGAAAGUGGACGUAUACGGUGUGACGCCUGCCCGGUGC
This 1465-nucleotide ribosomal RNA is filed under the name Escherichia coli. RNAcentral describes it as "partial 23S ribosomal RNA". It matches the Rfam family "Bacterial large subunit ribosomal RNA", at positions 419 to 1869 of the family's 2925-position model. The record is from RNAcentral. Lineage: Bacteria; Pseudomonadati; Pseudomonadota; Gammaproteobacteria; Enterobacterales; Enterobacteriaceae.